AGGUGUGGCAGGGUAGGGUGAGUGAGCGACUCUCUGGGUGCCUGGCACUGGGACAGUAUCAAACCACAGCAGUGGGGAAGUGGUGGAGUUACCAUCACUGGAGUUACCAUCACGUUGAGAAGACGUGUAACAGCCCAAUCAGUGACUAACCACUGUGACUCCAGAGACAUGGCAUUACUUUUAUGUUUUAAAAAAUCCAGCUUAAAGCCCACUUCAGAGCACUUCAGAGAAGAACUCAUCACAGCCUCCUUUACUGUUUUUUGUGGGACAUCUGACAUUUACCCAUCUGACAUUUAACUGUGUCAGAGAAAACUAUGGCAUAAGGAAUUGAGAUGAUCAAUCAAAUUUCUUGGACAAAUGUUUGUUAAUGCUCUGCAUU
This is a long non-coding RNA of Zonotrichia leucophrys gambelii, 379 nucleotides long. RefSeq lists it as uncharacterized. The transcript is spliced from 3 exons. Lineage: Eukaryota; Metazoa; Chordata; Aves; Passeriformes; Passerellidae. The record is from RefSeq and is a predicted model, not a curated record.